AGUCGUGUAGUGCACACAAAGCGAAUUAUUCUUCCGCCUUUUACUAAAGAAUACUGUAUGUGUCACUAACAACGGCAUGCACCAAUUUUUGGAGCGUUCACUUUCAUUUGGUGAAC
Small nuclear RNA from Tripterygium wilfordii, 116 nucleotides. RefSeq annotates it as U5 spliceosomal RNA. The record is from RefSeq and is a predicted model, not a curated record. The transcript has a single exon. NCBI's taxonomy places the organism in Eukaryota, Viridiplantae, Streptophyta, Magnoliopsida, Celastrales, Celastraceae.